AGCAGCCGCGGUAAUUCCAGCUCCAAUAGCGUAUAUUAAAGUUGUUGCAGUUAAAAAGCUCGUAGUUGAAUUUCGGGAUCAGACUGUCGGUCGUGCCUCGGUACGCACUGGCAUUAUUGGUUCCUACCUUCUGAAGAACCGCGAUGUCAUUAAUUUGGUGUCGCGGGGAAUCAGGACUGUUACUUUGAAAAAAUUAGAGUGUUUAAAGCAGGCUCACGCUUGAAUACAUUAGCAUGGAAUAAUGAAAUAGGACGUUUGAUUCUAUUUUGUUGGUUUCUAGGAUCGACGUAAUGAUUAAUAGGGAUAGUUGGGGGCAUUAGUAUUUAAUUGUCAGAGGUGAAAUUCUUGGAUUUCUUGAAGACUAACUAUUGCGAAAGCAUUUGCCAAGGAUGUUUUCAUUAAUCAAGAACGAAAGUUAGGGGAUCGAAGACGAUCAGAUACCGUCGUAGUCUUAACCAUAAACUAUGCCGACUAGGGAUCGGAUGAUGUUAAUUUUUUAAUGACUCA
Molecule: ribosomal RNA, 507 nt
Filed under: uncultured Glomus
Lineage: Eukaryota; Fungi; Glomeromycota; Glomeromycetes; Glomerales; Glomeraceae
Description: SSU rRNA
Rfam family: Eukaryotic small subunit ribosomal RNA
Source: RNAcentral